RNAcentral lists this ribosomal RNA (163 nucleotides) under Pachypodium saundersii. Its description in RNAcentral is "5.8S ribosomal RNA". It matches the Rfam family "5.8S ribosomal RNA". From Rfam's summary of the family: 5.8S ribosomal RNA (5.8S rRNA) is a component of the large subunit of the eukaryotic ribosome. It is transcribed by RNA polymerase I as part of the 45S precursor that also contains 18S and 28S rRNA. The record is from RNAcentral. Lineage: Eukaryota; Viridiplantae; Streptophyta; Magnoliopsida; Gentianales; Apocynaceae.
AAAAUGACUCUCGGCAACGGAUAUCUAGGCUCUCGCAUCGAUGAAGAACGUAGCAAACUGCGAUACUUGGUGUGAAUUGCAGAAUCCCGUGAACCAUCGAGUUUUUGAACGCAAGUUGCGCCCAAGGUCGUUAGGCUGAGGGCACGUCUGCCUGGGUGUCACG